GAAGUCUAGAUUAGGGAAGAGGUUCAAGGUAAUGAGAGUGCGGUGGUUCGCAGUGAUCAUCAGAGCUAUGGUGCAAUAAGGUGCCAAGCUAUCUGGCUACAUCAGGUGUAAAAUGGGUAGCAGAAAGAAUUUAACCAGCAUGGCUAUGUCUCAUCUUGGACAGUUCAUAGGACAAAAUAUUGGAGAUAAUCAGACUCCCUGAGUAGAAAGAGAAAACAUACAUGUUCUGUUACAUCAGGGAGCAACUAACAAGAUUCUUGACUCUGAACCUUUUAGAGUUCAGUACAUGCUGCAAAUAAGUUGGAUUUGUUUUUCCACUGACAAUUUUUAUUUUAAA
RNAcentral lists this long non-coding RNA (337 nucleotides) under Pan troglodytes (chimpanzee). Its description in RNAcentral is "long non-coding RNA NONPTRT012219". Lineage: Eukaryota; Metazoa; Chordata; Mammalia; Primates; Hominidae. The record is from RNAcentral.